CGUUUUUUGUAUUUAAUAAAAAAUAUAGCCUGCCCACUGAAUUAAAUUGAAUGGCCGCGGUAUUUUGACCGUGCGAAGGUAGCAUAAUCAUUAGUCUAUUAAUUGUAGACUGGUAUGAAUGGCUGGAUGGGUAAUAGCUGUUUCUAGAUUAAAAUAUGAAUUUUAGAUUUUUGUGAAGACGCUAAGAUAAAACUAAAAGACGAGAAGACCCUAUUAAGCUUUACAUGAGUGUUUAAUUUUUUUAAAUCAUUAAUGUUAUGUUGGGGCGACAGGAAAAUAGAGAAGCUUUUCUUUGUUAUUUUAUGCAUAUAGGUAGACAAGAUCUAGAUGAUCCAUAAUUUGUGAUUAUAAGAACAAGUUACUAUAGGGAUAACAGCGUAAUUUUAUUGGAGAGUUCUUAUUGAUAAUAAAGAUUGCGACCUCGAUGUUGAAUUAGGAUACCUUUUGGGUGCAGAAGUUUUAGAAGGUAGUCUGUUCGACUAUUAAAUUCCUACA
Molecule: ribosomal RNA, 495 nt
Filed under: Paralamyctes validus
Lineage: Eukaryota; Metazoa; Arthropoda; Chilopoda; Lithobiomorpha; Henicopidae
Description: partial 16S ribosomal RNA
Rfam family: Bacterial large subunit ribosomal RNA
Source: RNAcentral